This 543-nucleotide small RNA is filed under the name Pongo abelii (Sumatran orangutan). Its description in RNAcentral is "processed transcript". Lineage: Eukaryota; Metazoa; Chordata; Mammalia; Primates; Hominidae. The record is from RNAcentral.
AGCACCUAUGACCCUCCCUGAGAAAACAGGAUUUUGCUAUAUAGACCUAGCAAACCUUCUUUCUGCCUGAGAAACUGCUGUGUAGAAGGUUAAGGAGGAAGAAAGCUGAAACUUCAGUGUUGGUGCUGGAGAAUCUGGUAAAAGCACCAUUGUGAAGCAGAUGAGGAUCCUGCAUGUUAAUGGGUUUAAUGGAGACAGUGAGAAGGCAACCAAAGUGCAGGACAUCAAAAACAACCUGAAAGAGGCGAUUGAAACCAUUGUGGCCGCCAUGAGCAACCUGGUGCCCCCCGUGGAGCUGGCCAACCCCGAGAACCAGUUCAGAGUGGACUACAUUCUGAGUGUGAUGAACGUGCCUGACUUUGACUUCCCUCCCGAAUUCUAUGAGCACGCCAAGGCUCUGUGGGAGGAUGAAGGAGUGCGUGCCUGCUACGAACGCUCCAACGAGUACCAGCUGAUUGACUGUGCCCAGUACUUCCUGGACAAGAUCGAUGUGAUCAAGCAGGCUGACUAUGUGCCGAGCGAUCAGGACCUGCUUCGCUGCCG